This 74-nucleotide transfer RNA is filed under the name Lysinibacillus sp. PLM2. Its description in RNAcentral is "tRNA-Glu". It matches the Rfam family "tRNA". Rfam says of the family: Transfer RNA (tRNA) molecules are approximately 80 nucleotides in length. Their secondary structure includes four short double-helical elements and three loops (D, anti-codon, and T loops). Lineage: Bacteria; Bacillati; Bacillota; Bacilli; Caryophanales; Bacillaceae. The record is from RNAcentral.
UGGCCCGUUGGUCAAGUGGUUAAGACACCGCCCUUUCACGGCGGUAACACGAGUUCGAAUCUCGUACGGGUCAU